RNAcentral lists this ribosomal RNA (429 nucleotides) under Bacteroidota bacterium. Its description in RNAcentral is "Bacteroidetes bacterium partial 16S ribosomal RNA". It matches the Rfam family "Bacterial small subunit ribosomal RNA", at positions 355 to 776 of the family's 1533-position model. The record is from RNAcentral. Lineage: Bacteria; Pseudomonadati; Bacteroidota.
UAGGGAAUCUUCGGCAAUGGGGGGAACCCUGACCGAGCAACGCCGCGUGAGUGAAGAAGGUUUUCGGAGCGUAAAGCUCUGUUGGUAAGGAAGAACGAGUGUGAGAAUGGAAAGUUCAUACUGUGACGGUACUUAACCAGAAAGGGACGGCUAACUACGUGCCAGCAGCCGCGGUAAUACGUAGGUCCCGAGCGUUGUCCGGAUUUAUUGGGCGUAAAGCGAGCGCAGGCGGUUAGAUAAGUCUGAAGUUAAAGGCAGUGGCUCAACCAUUGUAGGCUUUGGAAACUGUUUAACUUGAGUGCAGAAGGGGAGAGUGGAAUUCCAUGUGUAGCGGUGAAAUGCGUAGAUAUAUGGAGGAACACCGGUGGCGAAAGCGGCUCUCUGGUCUGUAACUGACGCUGAGGCUCGAAAGCGUGGGGAGCGAACAGG